AAACAAAACUGUACAAAAUUGUUUACAACAAAAGAGUCCUAAAAGAAGAUCUAACUACUGUUCCCUAUGGAUUUUAAGUGCCUUUUCUUAAACGAGAGGAGUAUAUAAAGCUUCACACAUUUCUGAAGAUCAUCAGUACCCCACAAAAUGGAGUGGCCUGUGUUGAAACACCCUUCCACAUCUCUCAUCAGCGGUCCGACAGGAUCCGGUAAGACAUAUUUUGUGAAACGAGUCAUCGAAGAAAGUCUGCUUUCUCCUAUGCCUCAGCGUAUAAUUUAUUGCUAUGGAGCAUAUCAACCUAUUUUUAGUAAAAUGAAAAAUGUGCAGUUUGAAGAAGGACUACCAUCGAACCUCAAUUCCCUGCAAAAUGCACUAAUUAUCAUUGAUGAUUUAAUGUCUGAGUUAGCGAGCGAUACUCGUUUAAGUAAACUUUUUACGAAAGGAAGCCAUCACCGAAAUCUUUCUAUAAUAUUUAUCGUUCAAAAUUUAUUUCAGCAGGGUAAAGAGAUGCGAACCAUUCAUUUGAAUUGUCAUUACAUGAUACUGUUCAAAAAUCCUAGAGAUAAAUGUCAAGUCGUACAUUUGGCAAGGCAGAUGUUCCCCGGGAAAACAAAGGCUUUUCAGGAAGUCUUCCAGGAUGCAACUUCAAACCCUUACAGUUAUUUACUAAUAGAUUUAAGACCAGAAACCCAAGAAAUGUUAAGGUUACGUACAGGCAUUUUCCCUUCAGAUAAGCAUUUUGUUUAUGAACUCCGUUAGUUGCUGUUGCACUCAACAAGUUUUCUCCUUCAGUGAUUUAAUUUGUAGGUUUUUUAAAAUUUAAAACUCUCUUUUACAUUGUAAAAGAAUAAAAUUUGCCACACCGAAUUUUUUUUUUUUUUUUUUUUUUUUUUUUUUGAAAAUUAGAUUAUUUAAAAAAUGUCCUAAAAUAUAAGAUCUGCACAAAAAGCGGUUGCUUAUGCGACCUUUAUAAAAGAGAAGGAAUUGUUAAAGUACCAAUCAUUUGAGGUCCAGAUGUCGAGCCUGGAACAUCUUAAACUCCUAGGCAAAAGUAAAGUAAAAAAAACUCUUCUAAGAAAAUGUCCCAAUAGUGUUAUUAAAAGUGUAUGUGAAUGUGCUUUAAAUGUAUUACAGGGUAACGUUCCUUUGUCUAAAAGACAGAAACGUAAACUGGCCGUAUAUAAACGGACUUUGCGUACAUUAGGUGAUAAAAAGAUACCCUUAUUUAAAAAACGGAGACUAUUGGUACAAAAAGGUGAUGGAUUUCUUUCGUUGCUCAUUCCUGCCGCAGUUUCUGUACUGAGCACAUUAAUUAAUGGAGUUCGCUCGUAAAUUUAUCCUUGUACCCUCGGAUCGAGAAUUAGAAUUUGCUGAAAACCAUUUAUCAGAUUUAGAUCAGCAAAUGAGCACCAUUUUAAACGAGAAGUUAUCCGAAGAUGAAAAAGCCAAGCAAUACCUUCAAAUACUUCAAAAAUAUGUAACAUUUCCCCAAUUAAAAUCAGAAACACAAGAAAGUGUUCAGCUUAGCAAAAAGAAGAAGAGAAAAAGUUUACCAUGGAAGAAGAAAUUGUGAAUUCCGCUCCAGUGAAAUUUAAGAACAUUGCCAAAAGAAUUAUAGACUUUUUAAAACUUCACAAUGAUAUUAUUACAUGGACUCCAUCUAAAGAAUUAAUCAUGAACCAAGUUAAAAUUAAUAAUUCUAAUGUUCAAGACUUGGUGAAUUAUUUGUUAAGAAAUCAACAGACCAAGCCUGUAGGUUAUGAAGAGUUUAAAAAAUUCUUAGAUGUUGUAGAUUUUCCCAGGGAGUUUGUAAAAAACAAGUAUCUGUUUACAAUGUAUGCUAAACCUAAAUGUGUAAAAAAGAAAAGAAAAUUGUAUUCAACUUCUUGGAUAAAAUAUUAAAUAAAAAGAAAGAUAUUAGUUAAA
This is a long non-coding RNA of Stegodyphus dumicola, 1926 nucleotides long. The record is from RefSeq and is a predicted model, not a curated record. Lineage: Eukaryota; Metazoa; Arthropoda; Arachnida; Araneae; Eresidae.